RNAcentral lists this long non-coding RNA (219 nucleotides) under Elaeis guineensis (African oil palm). RNAcentral describes it as "long non-coding RNA (EGUI_LNC051131)". The record is from RNAcentral. Lineage: Eukaryota; Viridiplantae; Streptophyta; Magnoliopsida; Arecales; Arecaceae.
UGUCACACAUAUAAGGAGAAGAAAAUAGGUUGGCAGCAAGGUCUUAGAGAUAAUGUCAAACAUUAUCUAUAUGGUAUCCUAUUUCCAAUCAGAUUUGAACAUACCAUUUAAAACCUGAUCCUACCCAAAUUUAGAUGUGAGAUAGAGAAGACAAAGGAAUCUUUGGUGUAGAAAAAUCUCAUACAAAAACUAUUUGUGCAUAAGGAUAUAUGGCAUCAA